Molecule: ribosomal RNA, 440 nt
Filed under: uncultured bacterium
Lineage: Bacteria
Description: partial 16S ribosomal RNA
Rfam family: Bacterial small subunit ribosomal RNA
Source: RNAcentral
CCUACGGGAGGCAGCAGUGGGGGAUAUUGCACAAUGGGGGGAACCCUGAUGCAGCGACGCCGCGUGGGUGAAGAAGCGCCUCGGCGCGUAAAGCCCUGUCAGCAGGGAAGAAAAUGACGGUACCUGAAGAAGAAGCCCCGGCUAACUACGUGCCAGCAGCCGCGGUAAUACGUAGGGGGCAAGCGUUAUCCGGAUUUACUGGGUGUAAAGGGCGUGUAGGCGGGGAAGCAAGUCAGAUGUGAAAACCACGGGCUCAACCUGUGGCCUGCAUUUGAAACUGUUUUUCUUGAGUGCUGGAGAGGCAAUCGGAAUUCCGUGUGUAGCGGUGAAAUGCGUAGAUAUACGGAGGAACACCAGUGGCGAAGGCAGCUUACUAAACUGCCACUGACAUUGAUGCUCGAAAGUGUGGGUAUCAAACAGGAUUAGAUACCCCUGUACUC